UCUUCCAUUAUUCCCGUCGCCAGCUACCUCUCGUCUGCUCAUGGCUCCGCCACACCCUACCUCAGCUCCAACAAUGCGCGUGCGACCGAAGCGAUGGCCGGAGCACUCGUCCUCUUCCAUUCCGGCGGCCAAACCACCCGGAUCCCGCGUCAUCUUCCACUCCGGCGGCCAGAUCACCUCGAGCCUGCGCAACACCGGAUCUGCAGAGGACGCGGUCCUCGUCCAUGGAUCUGGCCGAGGGAAAUCAUUUUCUCCAUUGUUUCCGUCGGUGAGGCUGGAUCACAUCCUGUACUUUGCUUUUCUUCUAGUUAUUGUUCAUCACCAGCGAGAUGUGCUCCAUUCGUGUUGAGUGCCAUGCGUGCGUCUUCUUAUUGACCGCCCGCCGGGCUUAGAUCUGCGUCCCAUUCUAUUGAUUUGAGUUUUUUUGCCUCACCACCCCUUUUCAGCAGGAUCCGUGUUGGGAUGGCAAGGCCGAUUUCUGAUGUCUUCCGUCGCGGGAUUUCAUCAUCAUCGCCGAUUCCAGUUGGGCCGCGACGGCGAGGGCACACAGCUGUGCAGAGACGUCGGCUUUGAUGUUUGCUCAGAGGCCACCAGCGGUUGGACCAUAAGGUAAUUGCGAAUCUAAAACUCUCACAUGUACAUAUUAUGUAGUUUGAUCAUCGAAAAAAAAUAUGAUGUAGUUUUCUUUCCAGGAUAAUGCUAGACGUUCCUUUUUCUGAGACACAAACGUUUCUUGGCCAAAACCAAUAAUUGCGGAUUUUUUAUUCUUGGUGGGUUGAUUCUUGCUUUACCACGCGAUUCAGUUUUUGGCAUGUCUGCAGAAAAAAAAAAUGCAGAAUUUAUAGCCUUGUCGUGUCUUCGUCCGAUCGAUUGCUCUCAUCCUGUACCGUUCUGCUAUUUACCCCCUAAUCCUGGAUUUUGAACGAGCUACUGCAAGUUCAUCGACCCUAGGCACUGUUCAUAGUAAAUUCAGGAAUACAACAGUUGGUUUUUUUUGCCGAAAACUGCAAUGCUAUUACUUCUCAUGAUCUCAUCGGGUACGGUCGGUGUAGCAUGAUAUAGAUAACUCCAUAGUCAUAACAGCGUGGCAUGCUUCAGUAAGUUCAGGGGCUAAUCAUUCAUAUUGGUUACCAUUGUCUUAGCGCUGCUCCAUGCUCUGUUGUUUUUGAUGGAAUUUUGUGUACCACUUGUGAUAUGGAAGGAUAUUUGUGACAUAGCACUAUUUUGGGAUCACCGAAAUCAGUGUUGUUCUUGUUUUUUUUCCUUUGUAGCUAUUAUUUAUUGUUCAUGGAAAAAGGAGAUCCUUAUCUAGGUCAUAUGUUUUAUGAGAGGUAUUGCAUGCUAGAUUUUGUUUUAUUUUGUACAUGAUGUACGAUGAAAUGGUCGGUGGCGCACUGAUUUUAGAGUGGUCUUGAACACCUGAAGUGGAUCUCAAGCUAGUUUGUCAUUAGGCAUGAUGCAUUGUGGUUGUGUUAGAAACACUUUCUUAUGCCUUGAUCAUGACUGUAUUUAAUUGCUUUGUGUUAGAAACACUUUCUUAUGCCUUAGAUCCGACCGACUUGGAUUCACCGGUCAUGUGUAGUAUAUCUAGAGAAAUUUGAUCUAUUGUUCCGUCCACCCUAUCAUUGUUGAAUUAAUCAUGGGUAGUUGGUUGUGUAUUUGGAACUAAAAAACGUUAGAUUUAUCUUAAUCGGAAAAAGGCAGUGUUUAGGAUGAACCCUUUUUCCUCCAUCGCUAGCCUACGAUGAAUGGAAAAUAAAUGAACGCACAAUAUAUUUUAGUGUGCAGGCCGUUUCUUUUUGUUCGGCACAUCAUCAGAGUAAAAAUAAUGAAGCUUUCUUUUAGCUUAGUCUGUUUUUAGUCGCCUCAUUUUUAUCUUGUGUUCUAGUUUUUUUUUGGCGGGUAUCUUCUGUCCUAGUAAUUUUUUUUUUGUGAUCAGCCAUAGUAUAUUUUUUUUCAUUUUCUCAGUAGAUGAUGAUGAUUGGAACACCCAUGAACAUACAUUAGGGUUUAGGAUUCAGGCCAUUUAUUUUUGUUCUGUUGAUUAUCAGACUAGAAAUGAUGUGGCCUGAAUACUAGACCCUGAUGUAGACCGAGUCUCUUUUUAUGAUUAGGCUGUCAUUUUGUUCAGUUGACAACAAGUUUUGGCCCCACCUUUGAUUCGUUUGCCUGUUUGUUCAAAAAACGAUACAGGGUUAGGAUAAACUGCCUUGUGAGCAACAUUUGAAGAGGUCCGCGUUUGCAAGAUUUGUGGAGUGCAAAAGCACAACAUGUCUUGAUAGAGGAGAUUUUCGGAAGGAGCCAAGGAAAUUGCCAAAAUGUUUGAAUGUGGUGUUCUGAAUUGUGUGUGGUAAGGACACUGGACCAUUUGAAGCUAACUUUCAUUGGAUGGUUGUUGUUGUUAGCCAAAGAGUUUCCAACUCAGGAAAUCCUUAUUUAUGUGCCGUUUCAUGUAAUCGCAAACUGUGUAAUGCGACUUUACUAUUGGACAUGGACCAUUUUGUUGAAGAUUGUUAGUUGGGUGAAAA
This 2528-nucleotide long non-coding RNA is filed under the name Triticum aestivum (bread wheat). RNAcentral's name for it is "long non-coding RNA (TAES_LNC018959)". The record is from RNAcentral. Lineage: Eukaryota; Viridiplantae; Streptophyta; Magnoliopsida; Poales; Poaceae.